RNAcentral lists this long non-coding RNA (862 nucleotides) under Hordeum vulgare. RNAcentral describes it as "long non-coding RNA (HVUL_LNC007696)". Lineage: Eukaryota; Viridiplantae; Streptophyta; Magnoliopsida; Poales; Poaceae. The record is from RNAcentral.
GUAAGAUAAACCUACACAUAUACACAUAUGACAGAUGACAUACAGGACAACAGGAUCUUUCCAGAAAACAAACUAUGAAAAGGAUCAUACAUGACUUAAUUAAGCGCUGCACAUUGAUAAUCAAAGAUCAAACUACUGUGUGCACCUAAUAUAUUUUCACCAAGAUCACAUACCCCAAACCAUUGACCUUAAUCCCAAACCACAUUAGUGCAACAGAAAAAAAUGAUACAAUUUUUUCUUUUCUUUUCUGCACACAUGAUACAGUUUUUUCUUUUUCCAAACGGUUAACCCCCACUUUCCGAGGUAGGAUGUCAUGCUAUUAGCUCAAAUACUAUAUGAUUUUGAUAAAGAGGAUGUGCAGAGCAUAAGCAGCCACAACACAAGUAAGAUAACCUAAACCUAUACACAUAUGACAUAUGACAUAUACAAACCAUAACUUACAUUAAGUGAGUGAGCAAAGAUAUUUUUGCUGACUUGAAUAAAUGUUUUAUUUUUGCAAGUGACCGAACAUCACAUCAUACAAAAAUCAACAAAGCAACAUAUUUCUGCUAACCUGAGCCAUACAUGAAGGUGUAGAACGUGCAUAAAACCAGUAAAGAAAAUCAUUUCAGACAUAAAAGAAAAUUGGUGCAUGCAUGCAUGUCUGGGUUCUUGUCACAUAAAAUUUUAGUUUAUCACUGGAUCCAACUGAAAUUGACGACCAACACAAUAGUUCAACAGAUCAAAUCAUAUCAGAUUACGAUCGAUAGAAACGAGCAGGACUUCCUUCAGUAUGUUGGCAGCAUAGAAAAAUCACAUGGUGAGGGUGAGGUGUCAUCGCAUACUUAAAUACUAAGAAUUAGAGGAGCUUAGCUCCAUCAUA